RNAcentral lists this ribosomal RNA (292 nucleotides) under uncultured bacterium. RNAcentral describes it as "partial 16S ribosomal RNA". It matches the Rfam family "Bacterial small subunit ribosomal RNA", at positions 505 to 796 of the family's 1533-position model. The record is from RNAcentral.
GUGCCAGCCGCCGCGGUAAAACGUAGGACACAAGCGUUAUCCGGAGUUACUGGGCGUAAAGAGCGCGUAGGCGGUUUGUUAAGUCUGCUAUGAAAGCACCUGGCUAAACUGGGUGAGGCUGGCGGAUACUGGCAAGCUAGAGUGAGACAGAGGCAGAUGGAAUUCCGCGUGUAGUGGUGAAAUGCGUAGAGAUGCGGAGGAACACCAGUGGCGAAGGCGGUCUGCUGGGUCUCAACUGACGCUGAGGCGCGAAAGCGUGGGUAGCGAACGGGAUUAGAAACCCUGGUAGUCC